This 99-nucleotide long non-coding RNA is filed under the name Carlito syrichta (Philippine tarsier). RNAcentral describes it as "Pvt1 onco conserved region 3 (ENSTSYG00000033276.1)". It matches the Rfam family "Pvt1 oncogene conserved region 3". The record is from RNAcentral. Lineage: Eukaryota; Metazoa; Chordata; Mammalia; Primates; Tarsiidae.
UGCCCCUCAUGGCUGUGCUUGUCUGCUGCGUGAAGCCUCGUCCCAGGAUUUUCUGAGCUUGAUGGAUUUACAGUGGUUGGUCGUCCCACAGCUGGUGGA